CUUGAAGUCCAUGAACAGACCCCAAUUACUUUCCCUUAAUUCUGAGGAAGGAAGAUUGCUACUGUGACUCUUCAGUCCCAAGCCUUGAUCAAAACAGUAGGGCCUGUCAACUUGCUGCAUUAAGUGUUGUUUUGGGGGGCCACAGAUAUGGCAAAAAGUGGUAGAGACUAAUUUAUCUCUUGUACAGUGACAGUUUGCCUCACAGCUUCAAAGCAGCAAUUGGAAAUUGGAAGAAACCCAAGACAAGCUUAGUCAAAGAUGACAGAAAUCUCUUAAAGGCAAGAGGAACAAAGGUCUCUCCCAGAUGCAGCAAUGGAAGUUUAAUGUCUCCAUGACACUUAGAGUAGGAGGAAGAGCUAUAUGAGAAUUAAAACUAAAACGUUUGAAAAGCAUCAACAGUAUGUAAUUGUGGAUUUUGUUGCUGUGUACCUUUCUGGAGUGUCAGCUGAAUCUGCCCAGGCUCUAGCUUUGUAGAAGAAUAAAAAAUAAAAAUAAAAAAUGAAGCAGGUUGUUACCUUCAGAUGAAAUGUGGGCUUCAGUGAGAUAAUGAUCUGAACUGCUGGGUGUCAGCCAGCAAUGCUGUUGCUGUGCUCUGUAUUAACACUUCAGUAGAAGUCAUUCCAGUUACCUGCUGUUUAUUGGUGCUGUCAAGGCCUCAAGACCGACCACUUGAGCACUGGAUGUUUUACAGGAAUUUGGAUGGUUUCAACACACUUGUUUUACAGUAGAACAAACCCGAAUCUGUUAUACAGUUUUACAAAACAGAACUGCAUUGAAAUAUUCACUAGAGGAGCUUGUAUGAUGGUUGUGUGACCUGAGAGCUUUUGACUUUGGAAACCUCUGACAGAAAACUUGCUGAAAUAGGCUUCUUCAUGAAAUGCUUGGAUGUGAGAUGCUGUCCAGAAUAAAUGGCACUUUGUCACCAAAAUAAAGAGCACACAUUGAGAGACAGACAUUUGUUUAUGUGAAUGAAGUACAGUGAUUGAGUAGUAAGGAAAUCUGACACGGUGAGUCAAAUUUAACCAAAAAUAUUGAGUUAAGUUUAGACAGUGCAGAGCAAUUGGAGGCUGCAGUUAGCUUGGCUUCUUGCUGAAAUACUUCAGCCCAUAUGAAUGCUACGGUCAGCUUUGACAUCUUGACCUACCACUGUUUUGCAAUCCGUGGGAAGAUGCAAGUUUUGUUAAAGGACUGUUUCUGGGAGUCUUGUGGUCUAGCCUACACCAGGCGAUCUUCUGGCAUCCUUGUGUUGUGCCCUAACUUCUAGCAGUAGAGUCACUCUUCCAAGAGUGAGUGAGAAUGCACUUACGUUCACUUUCUCUUCUUCCCUCAUUCUCUCACUCAUUCCCUCCAACAACUUUAUCUGCAUUGCAAUAUGAAAAUAAUCAGAGUUUCUGAUUCUUUCCAAAUAAAAAAGAAAAAAGAUAUAGCUGGACUUUAAAUCUGCCUAGUCUUGAUUUAGAUUUGGACUAUGUGCUUGAGGAGUGGAGAAUGAGAUUUUUCAAGCACAGAAUUGUCAAUGUGAAUCUAGUAUUGGGGUAAGAGGGAGGAAACAUUUUAAUAGAAUUUUUGAAUCCUCUCUCCAGCAAAGAAGUACAUGGUCCCUGUCUUCUUAAUAGUUUUCCCAGUUUAACAAAGAAGAUAAAUCUUAGCACUCUGGUAUUUCUAACUCUUUAAAAAACAAACAAAUUUUUAUCUAUGGGUUUUUCCCUUCACACGUUCCCUCAGAUCUGUGAAGAUGCUUUGCAUCUUUGAAAAUAUAUUAGAGCUUUGCCAGUAAUGCAGACAGAAAAUGAGUCAUGAAGGCUAUUUCACUGUUUGCCUGCUGUUAACACCCUUGUGUCCAGCCAGACUUAGGAUUUCAAUCAUCUUUGUUUACAACAUAUCAGUUGCUUAAAACAGCCCUCAAAGCUCUCACCUUCUUCCCUCUUCAUUCUCAGUGACCUCAGCUCAUUUGCCUCAGUACAACGAAGUGAAGUUCACUUGCACUUGAACCUCUGGUAUGGAAACCAGGGCAGUGGGUUGGAUUCUGGGCAAACUUCUCCACAAAGAGUGGGAAUGGGGUGUGCUGCCUUCCAUAUGGAAAAUCUGUCUGCUGGGUGAUAGCUGGAGAGUAACUGUAUGUCUGCAUUGACUUUCCCUUUUCCUGUGAAAUAAGCAUAACCACAUUCCCUGAUUAGGAUACUUAUUUGUUCACAGUCUUCUUAAGGUGCAUCAUCAUCCUUGGCUAGGAGUAGGGCUGAGCGUAAAAAAAAUAACUUGUAAAUGGAGAAAGGCAGAGUAGCUAUUUUCUGUAGUUUUGUUAUACAGCUAUGGUAACAACUGGUUCUGACGGGGGAAAAAAAAAGCUUGUGUAAAUAGAAAGGAAGAAGAGUGCUUUACUCAUAACCUCAAAAAAUAAAAAUUUCUUCAGUGCAGAACUGUCAACAUGCAGUACUAUAUUUUUAUUUCUUUUUAACCUUGAAACACUCUAGUUCCUUAUGCUGUUGGAUUUUUGUGCUCUGAGAUACCUGAAGUAAUUUCUUGCUAUGCAUGGAGAAUAUGAUUAAAUAACAUAGAUUUAAGUUCCAAAAAAGGUUUCACAUGCUCAAUGAUGGCAAAAAGCCAGUCUGAAUGUAUGCUGUUUUUAUUACAAUCUAAUGCAUUGUCAAAUGAAAUUCUGCUACCAUUUGUGACAAUUUUUUGUCUGCCCAAUUAAAAUAAUUCAAUAUAACAAAUUGAGGUUAUA
Non-coding RNA from Anas platyrhynchos (mallard), 2725 nucleotides. Lineage: Eukaryota; Metazoa; Chordata; Aves; Anseriformes; Anatidae. The record is from RefSeq and is a predicted model, not a curated record.